RNAcentral lists this ribosomal RNA (253 nucleotides) under uncultured bacterium. RNAcentral's name for it is "partial 16S ribosomal RNA". It matches the Rfam family "Bacterial small subunit ribosomal RNA", at positions 524 to 776 of the family's 1533-position model. The record is from RNAcentral.
UACGAAGGGUCCAAGCGUUAUCCGGAUUUAUUGGGUUUAAAGGGUGCGUAGGCGGCUUAUUAAGUCAGUGGUGAAAGACUUCAGCUUAACUGAAGAAUUGCCAUUGAUACUGAUGAGCUUGAAUAUACUUGAGGUUGGCGGAAUGUGUCAUGUAGCGGUGAAAUGCUUAGAUAUGACACAGAACACCGAUUGCGAAGGCAGCUCGCUAAAGUAUGAUUGACGCUGAGGCACGAAAGCGUGGGGAGCAAACAGG